RNAcentral lists this ribosomal RNA (207 nucleotides) under uncultured bacterium. Its description in RNAcentral is "partial 16S ribosomal RNA". It matches the Rfam family "Bacterial small subunit ribosomal RNA", at positions 568 to 774 of the family's 1533-position model. The record is from RNAcentral.
CACGUAGGCGGAUAUUUAAGUCAGGGGUGAAAUCCCAGAGCUCAACCCUGGAACUGCCUUUGAUACUGGGUAUCUUGAGUAUGGAAGAGGUAAGUGGAAUUCCGAGUGUAGAGGUGAAAUUCGUAGAUAUUCGGAGGAACACCAGUGGCGAAGGCGGCUUACUGGUCCAUUACUGACGCUGAGGUGCGAAAGCGUGGGGAGCAAACG